Paramisgurnus dabryanus is the source of this 544-nucleotide non-coding RNA. The record is from RefSeq and is a predicted model, not a curated record. Lineage: Eukaryota; Metazoa; Chordata; Actinopteri; Cypriniformes; Cobitidae.
CAUCUUGUCUUUUAUCUCGCCACAUAAGAUAACAAAUGUUUACUCUUGUACCAGACCAGUCCAUACGAAUACAACUGAGGGAUUGUUUUCUUGAUUGAUCUUGACUGAAUUAAUGGCUGCUGAAACUAAGGCUUUACCAUCACAGGUUUUCCUGUAAUUUUCAUUGUUUUGGAAGUCUCAAGUGUUUUAAGUGUCAGUCAUCAGUAGAUCAGUAUGGGGUUGAUUUCUCUUCCUCUAGUUCUCUUGCUGAUUUCAAACAUUCACUCUGAACAAACUGAAGAUGUAAAACCAACUCUGACUGUGCAGCCACAGACGUCUGUGUUCAUUGGAGACACAGUUACUCUGACCUGUGAGAUUCAUCAGUCCACUGGAUGGGAGUUUAUCUUCAUAAACCCUUCAAACACUGAAUCCACUGAAACUACAGGAACUAAAACAAUCAGAUCUGUGCAAGUCUCUGAUGCAGGAGAGUACAAGUGCAGAGCCAGAAGAAAAGAAAACCCUCAGGUUUACACACAAUACAGUAAACCAAUAACAGUGAGAGUAA